CCUAGUUGAUCUUGCCAGUAGUCAUAUGCUUGUCUCAAAGGUUAAGCCAUGCACAUUUAAGUGCAAACUAAUUCAGCCUGUGAAAUUAUGAAUGGCUCGUUAAAUCAAUUAUAGUUUAUUUAAUGGUAUUUACAACUAAGAUAAUUGUAGUAACUCUAAAGCUAAUUUGUGCAACAAGCCUUGACUUUUGGAAGGGAUGCAUUUAUUGGAUAAAAGCUCAAUGCGAGCUUUGCCCACUGCUCUAAUGAUUCAUGAUAACUCGAUGAAUCAUACGACCUUUGUAUUGGUGACACAUCAUUCAAAUUUCUACCUUAUCAACUUUUGAUGGUUGGAUAGUGGUCUACUACAGUGGUGACAAGUAAAGGAGAAUUAAGGUUCGAUUCUAGAAAGAAAGCAUGAAAAAUGGCUACCACAUCUAUGGAAGAUAGCAGGUGUGCUAAUCACUCAAUCUUGAUAAGGGGAGGUAGUGACAAUAAAUAGCAAUACUGGGCUUUAUGAGUCUAGUAAUUGGAAUGAAUACAAUCUAAAUCCCUUAAUAAGGAUCCAUUGGAGGGCAAGUCUAUUGCUAGUAAGUGUUAUAAUUCUAGCUCUAAUUGUAUAUAUUUAAGUUGAUGCAAUUGAAAAGCUCUUGGUUAGAGCUAUAGUUGGGUUGUUUGAUUCGCCUCAUGGUAAACAUGUGUCUACUCAUCCCUACUAUCAACAAUGUGCUCCUAACCUUAAUUGGCUUAUUUGUUUCUUUGAUGUUGUUACUUUGAAGAAAUUAAUGUUCUCAAUGUAGGCCUAUGCUUGUAUACAUUAGGAUUGGAUAACAUCAUAGGAUUUCGAUCCUAUUGUGUUGGCCUUUGGCAUUAGAGUAAUGAUUAACAAGGAUAAUCAAGGGCAUUUGUAUUUCAUAGUCAGAGGUGAAAUUUUUAGAUUCAUGAAAGAUGAACAAUUGUGAAAGCAUUUGCCAAUGAUGUUUUCAUUAAUUUAAUCAAGAACAAAAGUUAGGGGCUUGAAGAUAAUUAGAUACUAUCUUAGUCUUAACCAUAAACAAUAUCGAGUAGUGACUAAUGGAUGUUACUUUUAGGACUCUGCCAACACCUUAUGAGAAAUUGAAGUCUUUGGGUUCUAAGAGGAGUGUGGUCACAAGGUUGAAACUUAAAGGAAUUGAUAGAAGGGCACACUAGCAAUGGAACCUAGGCACAAUUUGACUCAACACAGAGAAACUUCUAGGUCUAGAUAUAGUAAAGAUUGAUAGAUUAGAAGUGCUCUUUCUUGAUUUUAUAGGUGGUGGUGCAUGGCCAUUCUUAGUUAGUGGAGCAAUUUGUCUAGUUAAUUUCGUUAACAAAUGAGACCUUAGUCUACUAACCAGCUAGUAGAGGUGAUCCUUUGUGGCUAGCUUCUUAGAGGGACUAUGGCCUCUUAGGCCAAGAAAGUUUAAGGCAAUAACAGGUUUGUUAUGCCUUUAGAUGUUUUGGGCAACAUGCCCCACAUUGAUGUAUUCAAGAAAUCUAUAACCUUGGUUGAUAGCUCAUGUAAUCUUUGAAAUUUCAUCAUGAUGGGGAUAGAUCAUUGUAAUUGUUGGUCUUCAAUGAGGAAUUCCUAGUAAGCGUGAGUCAUCAACUCAGGUUGACUAUGUCCCUACCCUUUGUACAUACCACCCACUGUUUCUACUAAUUGAAUGGUCUAGUGAAGUGUUCAGAUCAUAGUGAUGUGGAUGGUUAACUACCCAAGAUGUCAUAAAAAGUCCAUUAGAUCCUAUCAUUUAGAAAAAGGAGAAAUUUUAACAAGGUUUACAUAGGUGCACUUGUGAAAG
RNAcentral lists this ribosomal RNA (1798 nucleotides) under Durio zibethinus. RNAcentral's name for it is "SSU rRNA". It matches the Rfam family "Eukaryotic small subunit ribosomal RNA". The record is from RNAcentral. Lineage: Eukaryota; Viridiplantae; Streptophyta; Magnoliopsida; Malvales; Malvaceae.